Molecule: ribosomal RNA, 330 nt
Filed under: uncultured Pelotomaculum sp.
Lineage: Bacteria; Bacillati; Bacillota; Clostridia; Eubacteriales; Desulfotomaculaceae
Description: bacterial SSU rRNA
Rfam family: Bacterial small subunit ribosomal RNA
Source: RNAcentral
GGUCAGCUCGUGUCGUGAGAUGUGGGUUAAGUCCCGCAACGAGCGCAACCCCUACGUUUAGUUGCUAACGCGUGAAGGCGAGCACUCUAGACGAACUGCCGUUGACAAAACGGAGGAAGGUGGGGAUGACGUCAAAUCAUCAUGCCCCUUAUGUUCUGGGCUACACACGUGCUACAAUGGCCGGUACAGACGGACGCAAAGCCGCGAGGUGGAGCAAAUCCUAAAAAAGCCGGUCUCAGUUCGGAUUGCAGGCUGCAAUUCGCCUGCAUGAAGUCGGAAUCGCUAGUAAUCGCAGGUCAGCAUACUGCGGUGAAUACGUUCCCGGGCCUU